ACGUAAUAGAUACCCGGGUAGUCCACGCCCUAAACGAUGUCUACUAGUUGUUGGUGGAGUAAAAUCCAUGAGUAAACGCAGCUAAACGCGUGAAGUAGACCGCCUGGGGAGUACGGUCGCAAGAUUAAAACUCAAAUGAAUUGACGGGGGCCCGCACAAGCGGUGGAUUAUGUGGAUUAAAUUCGAUGCAACGCGAAAAACCUUACCUGGCCUUGACAUGUAACGAACUUUCCAGAGAUGGAUUGGUGCUCGAAAGAGAACGUUAACACAGGUGCUGCAUGGCUGUCGUCAGCUCGUGUCGUGAGAUGUUGGGUUAAGUCCCGCAACGAGCGCAACCCUUGCCAUUAAUUGCCAUCAUUUAGUUGGGCACUUUAAUGGGACUGCCGGUGACAACCGGAGGAAGUGGGGAUGACGUCAAGUCCUCAUGGCCCUUAUGGCCAGGGCUUCACACGUAAUACAAUGGUCGGUACAGAGAGUUGCCAACCCGCGAGGGGAGCCAAUCUCAGAAAGCCGAUCGUAGUCCGGAUUGUAGUCUGCAACUC
RNAcentral lists this ribosomal RNA (542 nucleotides) under uncultured bacterium. RNAcentral describes it as "bacterial SSU rRNA". It matches the Rfam family "Bacterial small subunit ribosomal RNA", at positions 773 to 1313 of the family's 1533-position model. The record is from RNAcentral.